UUACCGAGUUUACAACUCCCAAACCCCUGUGAACAUACCACUUGUUGCCUCGGCGGAUCAGCCCGCUCCCGGUAAAACGGGACGGCCCGCCAGAGGACCCCUAAACUCUGUUUCUAUAUGUAACUUCUGAGUAAAACCAUAAAUAAAUCAAAACUUUCAACAACGGAUCUCUUGGUUCUGGCAUCGAUGAAGAACGCAGCAAAAUGCGAUAAGUAAUGUGAAUUGCAGAAUUCAGUGAAUCAUCGAAUCUUUGAACGCACAUUGCGCCCGCCAGUAUUCUGGCGGGCAUGCCUGUUCGAGCGUCAUUUCAACCCUCAAGCACAGCUUGGUGUUGGGACUCGCGUUAAUUCGCGUUCCUCAAAUUGAUUGGCGGUCACGUCGAGCUUCCAUAGCGUAGUAGUAAAACCCUCGUUACUGGUAAUCGUCGCGGCCACGCCGUUAAACCCCAACUUCUGAAUGUUGACCUCGGAUCAGGUAGGAAUACCCGCUGAACUUAAGCAUAUC
This 504-nucleotide ribosomal RNA is filed under the name Fusarium oxysporum. RNAcentral describes it as "eukaryotic LSU rRNA". The stretch from base 152 to 305 matches the Rfam family "5.8S ribosomal RNA". The record is from RNAcentral. Lineage: Eukaryota; Fungi; Ascomycota; Sordariomycetes; Hypocreales; Nectriaceae.